GUGGGGAAUAUUGGACAAUGGGCGAAAGCCUGAUCCAGCCAUGCCGCGUGUGUGAAGAAGGUCUUCGGAUUGUAAAGCACUUUAAGUUGGGAGGAAGGGUAGUAACCUAAUACGUUGCUACUUUGACGUUACCGACAGAAUAAGCACCGGCUAACUUCGUGCCAGCAGCCGCGGUAAUACGAAGGGUGCAAGCGUUAAUCGGAAUUACUGGGCGUAAAGCGCGCGUAGGUGGUUCAGUAAGUUGGAAGUGAAAUCCCCGGGCCCAACCUGGGAACUGCUUUCAAAACUGCUGAGCUAGAGUACGGUAGAGGGUGGUGGAAUUUCCUGUGUAGCGGUGAAAUGCGUAGAUAUAGGAAGGAACACCAGUGGCGAAGGCGACCACCUGGACUGAUACUGACACUGAGGUGCGAAAGCGUGGGGAGCAAACAGGAUUAGAUACCCGUGUAGUCC
Molecule: ribosomal RNA, 450 nt
Filed under: uncultured bacterium
Lineage: Bacteria
Description: partial 16S ribosomal RNA
Rfam family: Bacterial small subunit ribosomal RNA
Source: RNAcentral